This 497-nucleotide ribosomal RNA is filed under the name uncultured bacterium. RNAcentral describes it as "partial 16S ribosomal RNA". It matches the Rfam family "Bacterial small subunit ribosomal RNA", at positions 28 to 507 of the family's 1533-position model. The record is from RNAcentral.
GAUGAACGCUGGCGGCGUGCCUAAUACAUGCAAGUCGAGCGAACGGACGAGAAGCUUGCUUCUCUGAUGUUAGCGGCGGACGGGUGAGUAACACGUGGAUAACCUACCUAUAAGACUGGGAUAACUUCGGGAAACCGGAGCUAAUACCGGAUAAUAUUUUGAACCGGAUGGUUCAAAAGUGAAAGACGGUCUUGCUGUCACUUAUAGAUGGAUCCGCGCUGCAUUAGCUAGUUGGUAAGGUAACGGCUUACCAAGGCAACGAUGCAUAGCCGACCUGAGAGGGUGAUCGGCCACACUGGAACUGAGGCACGGUCCAGACUCCUACGGGAGGCAGCAGUAGGGAAUCUUCCGCAAUGGGCGAAAGCCUGACGGAGCAACGCCGCGUGAGUGAUGAAGGUCUUCGGAUCGUAAAACUCUGUUAUUAGGGAAGAACAUAUGUGUAAGUAACUGUGCACAUCUUGACGGUACCUAAUCAGAAAGCCACGGCUAACUACGUG